UACGAGAGGCGCAAACGUUAUUCGGAAUUACUGGGCUUAAAGAGUUCGUAGGCGGCGCAGCAAGUAGGGUGUGAAAGCCCUCGGCUCAACCGAGGAAUUGCGCUCUAAACUACUGUGCUUGAGGAAGCUAGAGGUGAGCAGAACAGAUGGUGGAGCGGUGAAAUGCGUUGAUAUCAUCUGGAAUACCGGAGGCGAAGGCGGCUCACUGGGGCUUUUCUGACGCUGAGGAACGAAAGCCAGGGUAGCGAACGGG
This 253-nucleotide ribosomal RNA is filed under the name uncultured bacterium. Its description in RNAcentral is "partial 16S ribosomal RNA". It matches the Rfam family "Bacterial small subunit ribosomal RNA", at positions 524 to 776 of the family's 1533-position model. The record is from RNAcentral.